This 76-nucleotide transfer RNA is filed under the name Thermococcus barophilus MP. RNAcentral's name for it is "tRNA-Asn". It matches the Rfam family "tRNA". Rfam says of the family: Transfer RNA (tRNA) molecules are approximately 80 nucleotides in length. Their secondary structure includes four short double-helical elements and three loops (D, anti-codon, and T loops). The record is from RNAcentral. Lineage: Archaea; Methanobacteriati; Methanobacteriota; Thermococci; Thermococcales; Thermococcaceae.
GUGCCGCCGUAGCUUAGUUGGUAGAGCGCGCGGCUGUUAACCGCGUGGUCCCCCGUUCGAGUCGGGGCGGCGGCGC